Non-coding RNA from Oryza punctata, 136 nucleotides. The record is from Rfam. Lineage: Eukaryota; Viridiplantae; Streptophyta; Magnoliopsida; Poales; Poaceae.
CCAGUCGAUCCUGACGACAUGAUCGCAUAUAUCCUUAAUGGACUUGAUGAGGAGUUUGAUUCCGUUGUGUCCACACUUGUGGCCAAGGAUCCCCUCACAAUCGCUGAUGUUUACUCAAAGCUCUUGAGUGUUGAAA